CCCUUCUCAAACUGUGAGCUGCUUCUGUUGUGCAUUUUGUCUGGCUUUGAGAAAAGUAACUAGUCCAGAAGAACAAUGCUCCUCUUCUCUCCCUCCAAGGAAAUCUAGGAGUUUCUCUCUUGAAAUAGUAGGGGACCAAAUGAAUGUACUAUGUGUAUUCCACCUUUGUGAUAUUCCACCUUUGAGAUUUCCAAAUCUCUGCUGAACCUGACAUGACAACUUGGUACAGACACGGCAUGUCUGUAUGACUUGUCUUACCUCAUAACAACAUGAGGUAACAUGACAACAGAUAAGGAACAUCCCUGGGAUAAUGAUGAGUCGCUCUGAACAACUUAAAUUCAAGAAGUUUUCACAGAGGAGAUGAUACAUGGCUAGCCACAGGAGGAUGAAUGCACUACAGGUGUUUCCAGGAGAAAGAAGAGCACAAAGAUGCAGAGCUACAGUGUGGUUCCAAUCAGCUGGCUUUUGUUACCCAAACAUGUGAAGAAGCAAAUAGCAUCCUGCUUGCUUUCCAGUCCUAAACCUCAAACUCUGCUGUGAGCAUUUUAUCUCCAGACUUCGAGGGCUUUGAGUUAGCUUAUGAAGGUGGGUUACUGCCGAGGAACCUUCCAAUGGUGCUUCUGAUGGAGAAUCUCCACGUUUCGAA
RNAcentral lists this long non-coding RNA (646 nucleotides) under Mus spicilegus (steppe mouse). RNAcentral's name for it is "lncRNA (ENSMSIG00000015847.1)". Lineage: Eukaryota; Metazoa; Chordata; Mammalia; Rodentia; Muridae. The record is from RNAcentral.